This 1311-nucleotide transfer RNA is filed under the name Bos indicus x Bos taurus (hybrid cattle). RNAcentral's name for it is "lncRNA (ENSBIXG00005003828.1)". The record is from RNAcentral. Lineage: Eukaryota; Metazoa; Chordata; Mammalia; Artiodactyla; Bovidae.
GGCUGGAGGAGUGAUCGCACUCCUGUCUGCUCCUGGCGGGGGAUGGCUUCUCUCGUGACUUACCCUCUCCUGCAGCACUCACAGGUGCUUCCAUGAAGAGCCUGGACCCAGGAGCAUCUCAGGGAUCCAGAUGUCACACCUGCAAGGAAAGGGGGAGGAGUGGGGCCGGUGGGGGAGGCAGGAGGGCGCUCAGAAAGGUGGGAUAUCCAUUUUGCUUCCUAUCAUCGGGGGCUGCUUCUUGCCAAUGUGGUGUUAGCACUUCUUCUGGCUGGAGGACAGGCCUGGCCUAACACACUGCGUGGUUUAAAUUCUCAAAAAGAGCUUUAGGCAGGCAUACUCAAUAUGGCCUGGCAACUACUUCAGGACAAUUUCAAAUUGUUUGAAAUUAAAUAUCUAAAAAUCUACUGAACUCUAUACAUGAACUCUACUUUGGCCUUGAGUUUUCCUUUGGGUCCUGAUUCAUAACGCUGUUUGAAAUUAAAACUCAAUCUUCCACGCUUUUCCAGAGAGAAGAAGUGAAGUCGCUCAGUCGUGUCUGACUCUUUGUGACCCCACGAACUGUAGCCUACCAGGUUUCUCUGUCCAUGGGGUUUUCCAGGCAAGAAUACUAGAGUGGGUUGCCAUUUCCUUUUGCAGGAGAUCUUCCCAACCCAGGGAUCGAACCCGGGUCUCCCGCAUUUUAGGCAGAUGCUUUACCAUCUGAGCUACCAGGGAAGUCUUUCCAGAAAGAACCAUGCUUAAAGAAUCUCUAAGAGGUUCUUCUGCAAGCACUAUUUUCUAGGUGAAUACUGCAGAUUAUCUUACAAUGCAAGUUCUCAUCUUAUCCCCUCUCUUGCACCUCCCCGAAAUCCUGCCCAUUUUUCAGGAAAGAAGACCGAGACACAGAGACCUCAAUUGGAUCAACUGCCAAAGGUCAUGGGCUGGAGUCAGGCUGACACCUUUGCUCUGUCCCUGGAUCAUCACAUGUUCUGUCCCGGGACGGCAGAAGUGCAGAAAGAGGUGGGAAAAGCCACCGCUGCCCACAGCUCUUUGGAAAACAACAACAACAAAAUUACAUCCUCUAUUUUUGUGUGCUCCUGAUUGUGAUUUUUAAGUUUGCUCUCAUUUUAUCCACCAAGGAUUGACCGUGUUUUCGUAUCGGAAUGAUCCGGUUUGCACAUCAUCUUCAUGAAAAGUUAAGACUUCGUUUUCUCUCCAGAGAGCCUCCUUGCCUGAAAGCGCCCUGGUUCUUUCUCAGCACUGGUCUCUGUCGUCACCGGGGCCCCCUCCCUCUUUGGAGCUGGCCUAUCCCCUCCCACCUUCCCCACCACC